Long non-coding RNA from Gastrolobium bilobum, 663 nucleotides. RefSeq lists it as uncharacterized. The transcript has 3 exons. The record is from RefSeq and is a predicted model, not a curated record. Lineage: Eukaryota; Viridiplantae; Streptophyta; Magnoliopsida; Fabales; Fabaceae.
GGUUGUGGGGGGGGUUAGGUUUUCUCUCUCUCUCCUCUCUUUCUCACUCAUCUAGCCACCAAAAUACAAAGUGUCAUACAUGAAAGUUUAAGUAUAGAUCAUGGUGAAUCCAUCACACUACUUUGUUUAGGCUGAAAAGACUUGUGUGAAGAGCUCUCUUCCUCGCAAAAUUUGGUUACUAUUCAUCCUAGUGAGAGAAGUGAAUUUUUAGGUGGAACCAAGCUUGGGUUUUGUUCUCCAAGCUUUGCAUAAGCGAUUUGAGGUGUGCCUAGGGACUGAGCAUGUUUGGAUUCCUUUGGAGCUAAAUAGGUAACUUGUGUUACAAGUGAGCAAAUUGGUAAAGCUUCAAAAGGAACAAAGUUAAUUGAAGAGCCCUCAUGGAACAAGGACACUACCCGUGGCUAGAGGUACUAGUAUGAGGAUAUGGAGUUCUAGGUAGCCGGAGGCUACUAUUUAUUAUAGAUGUUAUUUUUGGAGAACAUGUAUUGUUGUAUAGUGUUCUAUUCAUUUGGUGAUCAUGAUGUCUGAUCCUUUAUUUUGUAUAUGGCCUGUAUAUGUUUUGUACAUGUCUUUCAGCUGAAUGCAUGUACAUUUGAGUAUUCAGGCAUGUUGAUAUGAUGAUGUAGUAUUCAGUUUAUGUGUUGGAUUACAUGCUGUUAGACA